GAAAAUAAAGCGAUAAUAGUAGUGCAAACCUGUUUGCAAUGGAGUGGUAAUGCUGAAUUGGCGAGCCGGAUUGAGUUGGACGGAGGUAGCUUUGCGGCCGCCGGCUUUUCCUUCAGGGUUUUCCGUCUGUGAGCGCUAGGGUUUGCUUGCUAGGGUUCUCCCUUUCCUUUUUUUCGUCCCCUUUUCAUUACUGAAGUGCUGGUAUUUAUAAUGCC
This 215-nucleotide long non-coding RNA is filed under the name Lathyrus oleraceus (garden pea). RNAcentral describes it as "Pisum sativum (pea) long non-coding RNA (PSAT_LNC029609)". Lineage: Eukaryota; Viridiplantae; Streptophyta; Magnoliopsida; Fabales; Fabaceae. The record is from RNAcentral.